GAGAUGGUUCAGUGGUUAAGAGCACUGGCUACUCAUCCAGAGGACCUGGGUUCAAACCCCAGACAGCUCA
This 70-nucleotide transfer RNA is filed under the name Mesocricetus auratus (golden hamster). It matches the Rfam family "tRNA". From Rfam's summary of the family: Transfer RNA (tRNA) molecules are approximately 80 nucleotides in length. Their secondary structure includes four short double-helical elements and three loops (D, anti-codon, and T loops). Further hydrogen bonds mediate the characteristic L-shaped molecular structure. tRNAs have two regions of fundamental functional importance: the anti-codon, which is responsible for specific mRNA codon recognition, and the 3' end, to which the tRNAs corresponding amino acid is attached (by aminoacyl-tRNA synthetases). tRNAs cope with the degeneracy of the genetic code in two manners: having more than one tRNA (with a specific anti-codon) for a particular amino acid; and 'wobble' base-pairing, i.e. permitting non-standard base-pairing at the 3rd anti-codon position. The record is from Rfam by way of RNAcentral. Lineage: Eukaryota; Metazoa; Chordata; Mammalia; Rodentia; Cricetidae.